GGGAGGAAGCGGAGUAGCAAACCUCACGAGCCUACGAACAGAAACUUGAUAUAAGGCUAAAUGGUGGAUAAGGCUGCGAAACAAACCAAAAUCCAAAAGGUAAACGUAAUACCAAAGCAGUAAAUCAAGAGGCAGUAAAUCAAGAGGUUGUGGAGGGAAAGAUU
RNAcentral lists this non-coding RNA (164 nucleotides) under bovine gut metagenome. The record is from RNAcentral.